GAUGAACGCUGGCGGCGUGCUUAACACAUGCAAGUCGAACGAACAGACCCGGAGCUUGCUCCUCUGACGUUAGCCGCGGACGGGAGAGUAACACGUGGAUCCCCUACCUAUAAGACUGGUAUAACCUCGGGAAACCGGAGCUAAUACCGUAUAAUAUCUUGAUCCGCAUGGUUCAAUAGUUAAAGACGGUUUUGCUGUCCCUUCUAGAUGGUUCCUCGCCUCAUUAGCUAGUUGGUGAGGUAACGGCUUAGCAAGGCAAGGAUGCGUAGCCGACCUGAGAGGGUGAUCGGGCACAAGAGAGCUGAGACACGGUCCAGGCUCCUGAGAGAGGCAACAGUAGGGAAGCGGACGCAAUGGGCGAAAGCCUGACAGAGCGACGACGCGUGAGUGAUGAAGGUCGUGGGAGCGAAAAACUCUGUUAUGAGGGAAGAACAAAUGUGGAAGUAACUAGGCAGGGCUUGACGGUACCUAAUAAGAAAGCCACGGCUAACUACGUG
This 497-nucleotide ribosomal RNA is filed under the name uncultured bacterium. RNAcentral's name for it is "partial 16S ribosomal RNA". It matches the Rfam family "Bacterial small subunit ribosomal RNA", at positions 28 to 507 of the family's 1533-position model. The record is from RNAcentral.